Molecule: long non-coding RNA, 2956 nt
Organism: Anguilla rostrata (American eel)
Lineage: Eukaryota; Metazoa; Chordata; Actinopteri; Anguilliformes; Anguillidae
Exons: 4
Source: RefSeq, a predicted model, not a curated record
CCCACGCUCGUACUUCCCAAACAAACAUCUGCAGGUAAACAAACGAGCGCUACGCAGUAAUCUCGGACACGUCACAUCGAUCUGAUGGACAUACAGUUUGAAUUGAUGGAUGUUAUGACAUAUCGUUGGCUUUUGCUAUAGGAUAUUUUUUCCAGGACAUGCAGGACUGGACGGAAAUGGAUGUGCAAUCCGUUAGUUUCUUCGCCGAGCCGUCUUCAUUGUUUCACAGUAAAACUAAAAUGGGAAUAAUUUUGUAUGCGCUAAUGCAGAACAAAGCCAGAGCUCCUGGCCAAACGUGAUGGCUCCUCCUUAUACUCUACCCCAGCUCAUAGAAGCAAGCAGAAGACAAAGAGAACGAGGAGGCCAGGCUCCCAGAUUGCAGAUACUAGAAGGCCCGUGUGAAGGAAGUGAAGUCACCGGAGCGUGUCAGGGGGUGAAGGCAGGAGAGAAGGGAAAGUUUUCGUAGAUUGACCCACCAUAUUCGGGCACGGAGCCAUCGCCCCGCUUGAGGACCAAGCGCACCCUCCGCCCACCGUUUUUAAUCAGUUCGAUGGCACGGGCAUGCUUCAUGUUCUUGGUGCUCUCUCCAUUGAUCUCCAGGAUCUCGUCUCCGACCUGCGUUUGUGAUACGGGACGGGGGGAGGGCGGAAGAACAAAUCACUACUGUGCAGAGAACUCUGGUUGAAUUACACGCGCAGAAAAAAGGCGCCCAUUGACAACGAUGUCGGCUUGUUCUGUAAGGGAAAGCUGAAGUCUCUCUACCCCCCAGUUCAAAGCUGUCAGUGCUCUCUGCCAGGGGAAUACCAUCUGCACUGAAACAAGCCCCUUCUUGACACUUCUGUAUGCUUCCCUGUACUGUGUUACUAUUAAUAUCUCAUCUAACAAGCUCAACUCAGAGACAAAAAGGACUGGUGACAAUGAACAGUGCCUCAAUGUAUAGCAGCUACAAUGCUGCUGAUAGAACAAAUAUUUGAAAGUCUCAUUACCAUUUUAAUAAUUUAGUUCUAAUUACAAUCUAAUUUCAUAUUAAUAUUGACAGAAACAGAAUCAACCAUACAUAAUAUCCUCAUGAUAUAGCACAAAACCGUUGGAUUGGUUAUGUUUUAAUGCUUCAGCAUCAAAUGCAUCUGGCCUGACCUAUUUAAUACUGACACACUUAUUCUGAGAGCUACAAAUGCUGUAUGAUUUUAUAGCAAUAUGCUACAAGAGCAUAUCAUGAACUACAUGCUAUAUCUGUAUCAAACGUACCCGCAUCUUCCCAUUUCGGACCGCUGCCCCAUCUUCAGCUAGCCUGAGGACGUAGAGGUCCAUGUUAUACUCGCGGCCCCCGCGAAGACUGAAUCCAAAACCUUUAUUGUCCCGUUCAAGGUCAACUGAAUAGAACUCUGGGUCCUAUAGGGAAAAGGACAGACAGUGCACAAAAAAAUUACCAACAUGACAACCAUCUGAAGAGGUCGUGGUUUCAGCACAAAAGACAGGUACCACCCUCCAGGAAAGUCACGCUGAAUCAACAGGACAGUUCAAUGCUCAAGAUCAAAUUAAUAAUUGAUUCCUUUGGAUUCACAAAUAUUUUGGGACUUUCUGAAGAACCACACGGACAUUACAGGAAGAUGGUCUGAAUCUAAAGAUUUACCCCAAGCGUAUGACUUUGAAGGCGAGGAAGGCAAUGGAGGGCAUUAAGAAUGAUCAUGCUCGGGCGGUGCAUACCGAAGGUGGUCCCGGCCUCGGGCCGGGAGACGGACGAGACGAUGACGAAGCCGAAGCCCUCGUUCUCGCCGCGGCGGAUCUCCACGUCGUAGGGCUGCACGGCGGUGCUGACCACGGCGCUCCCGCUGCCUCCCCCUCCCCCGCUGCCGAUGCCGCUGGUGCUGCCGCUGCCCGAGCUCACCGUGUUGAGCGAGUUCUGGCUGCCCUGCGGCGUGCGCUUCUCCUCCGUCAGCGAGGGCGCCUGGUUGCUGCUGUGGUGGGACGAGGCCGGGGACGGCGGGACGUCGCCGUCCGUCUUGGACGCUGAGCGGAAGGAAGGGGAGGACGAGCAAUGAGACGCGGAGCCAUUGGUUAAAACGGGCCCCAUCUGCUCCUUUACCUCCAUAGCCAGUCUUGCGCCGGACAGUCAGGUUGACGUGUCCCUGUUUGGCAGCCUGCUGCAUCAGUUGGACCACCAGCUGGUGGGACUUCCCCACCACGGCCGUCCCGUCCACGCAGAUCAGCUCGUCCCCAGACCGCAGCCGACCGUCCUCGUCGGCGGCCCCGUACUUCACGAUGUGCCCGAUGUAGAUCUGGCCAGCGACAGAGACGGACCGUGUCAGCCGGAGAACAAGAUGCCACCGAGCUUGUCUUUCAAGUGACAGAACGCGGUUCAGCAUGCCGAUGACUCUUGGAUUCCCUAACUCACUGUCUCCUUAAUCCUGUUGUAUUUCCCCAACCAAUUAAAACCCAGGGGGAUGAUUAUUUUCUUUCUCCAACAGCUGUAUAAAUCAGCUUGAAAGAACAGCAAACUUUCAAGGGAAGGAAACUGGUGUUCACAUUUUAGAUCUUGUUUUUUUCUUCAUUUUUUAAGCUGCAUUGACCAAGCUGGUGGGAGGCAUGGGAGCAUAUAUUUGUAUUGCAUUGCAUAAUGGUCUCCACCACACAGACUCAAGUUCUUGUCGCUAUCUGUGCCUUAAAGUCCUAGUUAUCCUCCAGUGGCAAGCAGCAGAACACUCAGCUAGAUGCUGCAUACUAAAUGCACUAAGCUGAAGAAGCCACCGCCUUCAUACUGAUGACUGCUAGUAUUCCCCAACACCCACAGCUCUCUCUGUGCAGCACUCUCUGUGAGAAUCAUUAAGGCAGGCUUUCCAAUUUUCGCUUAUACCCCUUCUUUGAUUUUGAAUUGAAUUACAUUUUAAAGUUUGAACUUAUGACAUAAAAUAUGGUUUAGAAAAAUAAAAUAAAAGACCUUCUGCAAACAUUAAAA